GACAGAGGAGCCAAGCGUUGUCCGGAUUGACUGGGCGUAAAGCGCACGCAGGCGGCCCGGCGCGUGGGGUGUGAAAGCUGGCGGCUUAACUGCCAGACGCCAUCCCAUACGGCUGGGCUCGAGCCCUGCAGAGGUCCAUGGAAUUGCCGGUGUAGUGGUGAAAUGCGUAGAGAUCGGCAGGAACACCCAGGGGGAAACCAGUGGACUGGGCAGGAGCUGACGCUCAGGUGCGAAAGCGUGGGGAGCAAACAGG
RNAcentral lists this ribosomal RNA (253 nucleotides) under uncultured bacterium. Its description in RNAcentral is "partial 16S ribosomal RNA". It matches the Rfam family "Bacterial small subunit ribosomal RNA", at positions 524 to 776 of the family's 1533-position model. The record is from RNAcentral.